This 1465-nucleotide ribosomal RNA is filed under the name uncultured marine bacterium. RNAcentral describes it as "bacterial SSU rRNA". It matches the Rfam family "Bacterial small subunit ribosomal RNA". The record is from RNAcentral.
UGAUCCUGGCUCAGAACGAACGCUGGCGGCAGGCCUAACACAUGCAAGUCGAGCGCACCUUCGGGUGAGCGGCGGACGGGUUAGUAACGCGUGGGAACGUACCCUUUUCUACGGAAUAGCCUUUGGAAACGAAGAGUAAUACCGUAUACGCCCUUUGGGGGAAAGAUUUAUCGGAGAAGGAUCGGCCCGCGUUAGAUUAGAUAGUUGGUGGGGUAACGGCCUACCAAGUCUACGAUCUAUAGCUGGUUUUAGAGGACGAUCAGCCACACUGGAACUGAGACACGGUCCAGACUCCUACGGGAGGCAGCAGUGGGGAAUUUUGGACAAUGGGGGCAACCCUGAUCCAGCCAUUCCGCGUGAGUGAAGAAGGCCUUCGGGUUGUAAAGCUCUUUCACAAGAGAAGAAAUCUUAUUAUCAAAUAAAUAGUAAGGAUGACGGUAUCUUGAGAAGAAGCACCGGCUAACUACGUGCCAGCAGCCGCGGUAAUACGUAGGGUGCGAGCGUUAAUCGGAAUUACUGGGCGUAAAGCGUGCGCAGGCGGUUUUAUAAGUCAGAUGUGAAAUCCCCGAGCUCAACUUGGGAACUGCGUUUGAAACUGUAAGACUAGAGUGUGUCAGAGGGGGGUAGAAUUCCAUGUGUAGCAGUGAAAUGCGUAGAUAUAUGGAGGAAUACCAAUGGCGAAGGCAGCCCCCUGGGAUAACACUGACGCUCAUGCACGAAAGCGUGGGGAGCAAACAGGAUUAGAUACCCUGGUAGUCCACGCCCUAAACGAUGUCUACUAGUUGUUGGUGGAGUAAAAUCCAUGAGUAACGCAGCUAACGCGUGAAGUAGACCGCCUGGGGAGUACGGUCGCAAGAUUAAAACUCAAAGGAAUUGACGGGGGCCCGCACAAGCGGUGGAUUAUGUGGAUUAAUUCGAUGCAACGCGAAAAACCUUACCUGGCCUUGACAUGUACUGAAUUUAGCAGAGAUGCUUUAGUGCUCGAAAGAGAACGGUAACACAGGUGCUGCAUGGCCGUCGUCAGCUCGUGUCGUGAGAUGUUGGGUUAAGUCCCGCAACGAGCGCAACCCUUGCCAUUAAUUGCCAUCAUUUAGUUGGGCACUUUAAUGGGACUGCCGGUGACAAACCGGAGGAAGGUGGGGAUGACGUCAAGUCCUCAUGGCCCUUAUGGCCAGGGCUUCACACGUAAUACAAUGGUCGGUACAGAGGGAAGCCAACCCGCGAGGGGGAGCCAAUCCCAGAAAGCCGGUCGUAGUCCGGAUUGUUGUCUGCAACUCGACAGCAUGAAGUCGGAAUCGCUAGUAAUCGCGGAUCAGAAUGUCGCGGUGAAUACGUUCCCGGGCCUUGUACACACCGCCCGUCACACCAUGGGAGUGGGUUUUACCAGAAGUAGUUAGUCUGACCGUAAGGGGGACGAUUACCACGGUAGGAUUCAUGACUGGGGUGAAGUCGUAACAAGGUAACC